UAAAUCGAAUAUCCGUUGACGAAAAAAGCAAACCAUCAUAAAACGCACGGCGAACGCGAGGGGAACGAAGUUUUGAGUUCAUGACUGUUGGCAACACAGUCGACGAACAAAGCGAGAUUAUUUAUAAAGCGAGCGAAGUCGAAUCCUGUCGUUCUUGUAAACGAAGUUAUUUUCGAAAGUGACUUCGGGGGUCCCCUUCGAAGUGAACGUGCCGAAGUAAGCUUCAUGAAAUCCUCCCAGGAUGUUUCAAACUCUCACCGGAUUUAAACAUUUAUUUUUAUAAUCGUAUAAAGAAAUGUCGCCUGAUGCUGCGUGCAAGAAAGCCCAGGUGUCGAUCCUUACGUCAACAAUAUUGCCAAAGAAAGCGAGCGAAGCGGAAGUGAUUAUCGAUACAGAAUGUGUCUCUAAAAUUCUGUGUCAUUCACGGAAGGAAGUCACGUGUUCAGGAAGUAAACCUAGCCGGAAAGAGGUGCUCGAGGCGAAAAGAGUUCGAUUAAGACGGCUUUUUGAAUGCGAUGCAAUUAAAUUGGAAAAUUCAUUACGCGAACUGGGAUUCGCUUUCAUUCCCACGCAACCUUGACCUUUUUCGUCACGUUUCUUUCAUUUCGUCUCUUCCUACGACUUUGAGAUUUAACGAAUCGGCAUUAAAUGACUGAACUUUCAUCGCUUUCAAUUUCAAAUGCAUUUGAGAAUAGUAUUUCCUUUAUCGCACCAAAAAAUUGCCAUUUGAAUGUUUAUGACAAAUUCGAAAUUUUACUAGGGAUUAAUUUUACGAUUUGCACAAAAAGAAAAAUAUCAAGUUAAUAAUAAUUUAACAAUCAAUUGUUUGGAUUAAGAAGGUAAAAUAAUAAAUUUAGAUUUAUUGAAACCGUAAUGUUGAGCUUUUUAACAAUAAUUAAAAUAAAUAAAAAUUAAAAGCUUUAUUAAUGAAAAUGUAAUCUCAUUUUCAAGAUGAUCUGUUAUUAAUUUCUUCGAAAUUUGAAGUUGUAAUAUAAAUUAAUUUUAAAUGUAAAUGAUAAAGAAAUACUUUCCGGAUCCACAAUCAUAAUCAGCUUUAAUUAUUGGCUAAUUUGAUUAAAAUAGUUAAUAAUGCAUAAUUAAUUAUUUUUGAAACCAGUCUAAAAUUUUUUUAUUUAACGUGAACAUUUUUGAUCUAGACUUUUCAGACAUCGAAGAAUAUCAAUUUUAAAAAAUUUGAACUUUUUUCUAAAUAUUCAUAAAAGUAAUUCUCUCGCGAAGAUUUAAUAGAUAUGCAGACGAAAACAAUAUUGGGACACGAAUAAUUAUAAUAAAAAGUUUUAGAUGAUAUGGUUUGAUAAAAUAAUUAAAGUAUCAAAUUAAAUAUAAAUGAAGUAAAUAUAAAAUAAUAGUAACAAUAAGAAAGAAGAGAUUCUAGAUUGAUAUAUUAUUUAAACGCUUACGAAACAGAUGUACUCAAUUUCUGCUAUCAAUCUGCCGUCUGCAGUUUUUAUCAACAGAACAUAAAUUUAUUGCGAACGUAGUUAAUGUCAAUCUGCUACAAUUUAGUGAUUGAACUUAUGGCUAUACUGUUGUUUAUUGCAAAUGUUUUAUCAUAUGGAUAUAAAUCUAUCUUAACGUUGUAUGUAACUCUUAUAUUAUGUUAAUACUGUAAAGUUGGGUUAUCCUUUUUUAUACAUUCCUUUCAACUUAAAUGUCUCACGACGUCUUGAAGAUGAUUUAUUAUCUAUUGACGGUACAUACAUAAUGUAUA
Molecule: long non-coding RNA, 1732 nt
Organism: Cataglyphis hispanica
Lineage: Eukaryota; Metazoa; Arthropoda; Insecta; Hymenoptera; Formicidae
Exons: 2
Source: RefSeq, a predicted model, not a curated record